Molecule: long non-coding RNA, 572 nt
Organism: Athalia rosae (coleseed sawfly)
Lineage: Eukaryota; Metazoa; Arthropoda; Insecta; Hymenoptera; Athaliidae
Exons: 2
Source: RefSeq, a predicted model, not a curated record
ACUUACCCCAGUAAACGUCAGUUGCUCCUCUGAAAAAUUUCGGAAUGUAAUUUUCUAGGACUGUCAGUGUGCUGUUUAUGUCUUCCAAAACUCCAACAACAGCGUAGUGCUUUUCUACGGCAAGUUUGGCACGUUCCAAAGCUCCUGCGGUGUUGAAGGGCCUGAGAGGAAAAAAGUUAUGUAAGUUAUGCAAGUGUUUUGAUUCCAGGGUUUUCAAGGUCCGAUACAAAGGAUUCUCCCAGUUGAAAAUCUCAAAUCUUGAGAAUCAUGAUUUUUAUUUCAUCGUUCUUAAGGAGAAAUGGAAAAGGAUCUAAGGAAAUCUACGAUAGUUCAUAUCGACACUCCCUGUCACCCCUGAGUACGCAUGAUUCGAAGUCUUUUUUCAACCAAUUUGGAUCGGGCAGGGGAAGAUCCGGGAAUAUCUGUUUGCGUUCAACGUAGUACCAAGGAGCCCUCACGUAGUAGUACCAGGAUAUUACACGCUCCACAGGAUCUCGAACAAGGUUCACGUAAAUCGGUUCCGGCAAAUUGAACCUGAGGGGUAAAAAUAAAACGAAUAAAUUCCGCUUCAA